This 424-nucleotide long non-coding RNA is filed under the name Chinchilla lanigera (long-tailed chinchilla). Its description in RNAcentral is "lncRNA (ENSCLAG00000026675.1)". The record is from RNAcentral. Lineage: Eukaryota; Metazoa; Chordata; Mammalia; Rodentia; Chinchillidae.
UCCAAGCCGAUGCUGAGAAGGGGUCCCUAGCCAUCCUGCCCUUGGAGAGGCCACCCACGUUCCCCAGGCUAGUGUCCAGAAAGGCUGCAUUUCUCAAAGGCCACCAGAAGCCACAGUUCCCUGGCCCUCCCCAGUCUGAGAGACAGUGUGUGCAGAGCCCUGGAAGAUGAAGAACAUCGGGUCUGGGUCCCCAGACGACCAUUCAGUGGCAACAUGCACAUGGUCUCCAGGUCCAGUUCCAGAAGCAUCUGCUAUCAGGGGUGUCAUGGCUGAUCCCUGGCAGAAGCAUUUAACUGGCUUUGUGUGGAGCUGGACCAUGUCACAGGCUAGUGGUCUACGGACGGGCUCUCCCGGGGACCCCAUCCCACCAGGUGUGAUGGGCAGGGUGUGGGGAGACAGGUUCACCCUGUCUGUUCCUACUUAG